This 383-nucleotide ribosomal RNA is filed under the name Gephyrocapsa sp. RNAcentral describes it as "partial small subunit ribosomal RNA". It matches the Rfam family "Eukaryotic small subunit ribosomal RNA", at positions 587 to 975 of the family's 1831-position model. RNAcentral also lists the same sequence under 2 other names. The record is from RNAcentral. Lineage: Eukaryota; Haptophyta; Isochrysidales; Noelaerhabdaceae.
AGCUCCAAUAGCGUAUAUUAAAGUUGUUGCAGUUAAAACGCUCGUAGUCGGAUUUCGGGGCGGGCCGACCGGUCUGCCGAUGGGUAUGCACUGGCCGGCGCGUCCUUCCACCCGGAGACCGCGCCUACUCUUAACUGAGCGGGCGCGGGAGACGGGUCUUUUACUUUGAAAAAAUCAGAGUGUUUCAAGCAGGCAGUCGCUCUUGCAUGGAUUAGCAUGGGAUAAUGAAAUAGGACUCUGGUGCUAUUUUGUUGGUUUCGAACACCGGAGUAAUGAUUAACAGGGACAGUCAGGGGCACUCGUAUUCCGCCGAGAGAGGUGAAAUUCUCAGACCAGCGGAAGACGAACCACUGCGAAAGCAUUUGCCAGGGAUGUUUUCACUG